Molecule: non-coding RNA, 74 nt
Organism: Podarcis lilfordi (Lilford's wall lizard)
Lineage: Eukaryota; Metazoa; Chordata; Lepidosauria; Squamata; Lacertidae
Source: the annotation of a GenBank genome assembly
UGCAUGAUAGCUCAGUUGGCAGAGCAUGAGACUUGUAAUCUGAGGGUUGUGGGUUUGAGCUCCGUGUUGGGCAA